Lycium barbarum (goji berry) is the source of this 1250-nucleotide long non-coding RNA. RefSeq lists it as uncharacterized. Lineage: Eukaryota; Viridiplantae; Streptophyta; Magnoliopsida; Solanales; Solanaceae. The record is from RefSeq and is a predicted model, not a curated record. The transcript is spliced from 3 exons.
UAAUCUCUUUAUUUUUCUUUUCAUUUUGCCCCUUGUCUUUCACUCUCUUCUCUCUCCGUCUCCUCUCUCUACCAUCCCCCACGCGACUGCCCCACCCCCUCCUUAGUCGGUCAACGCUGCAGGCACCGCCGUUUCCGACCAGCAAGCGUCGCCACCAGACGCCGCUGUUGUUUCCGACCAGCAAUCGUCGCCACCAGACGCCGCCAGCUCAGAUUGGAGUAUCAAUUGCAUCGAACUUUGAAUGCAAGUUUAACGCUGUUGUUAGAAGGGGCUGCAUUGCAGCUAUUUUCAGUUAGAAUUCUUCUUCCUCGAGAAAUUUCUUAGAGUUUGUGAAAGAUGGGAAAGGAUGACAGAUAAGAAAUUUCUAAUAGUUUCAGUUGUAAAUCUGCUAUUCUUAUGUAGUUCUAUAAGAAUGGUCUAUUUUGUGUUUAUUAUUCAGCUAUAUUCCGUUGGGUGUUAUAAAGUAAAGUGUUAUUCUUGUGCAGAUGAACUCUGUUCAAAAUUGAGGCAUUUCCUUGGCUUAUAGAUCCAUGACCAUGUAUUAUUUGUCUACAUGAACCAAUAGCAGCAGUAGAUUACAAAUGCUGACAAGGGUAGGAAAAUAUCAUUAAGAAGCACCAGCAAAAAAGAUACCUGUGAAGAACAAGGACAAAUUUCUUGGCUUCAUUAUCGACUUCUCCAUCAACGGAUACAUUUGGGAGUCUUGAUUUAACUAGGCAAAGGCUUCAACGUCCGUGGGGAGUCAGGGAAAGAAUGAGCUGCGAGGUACCCAAGCAGAGACAAUCAGGUAUGAUCAUAAGACAAGUUUGGUGGAGCAAGAAAGUAGAAAAGAUGAGGCUGAACUGAGACAGGUGAUGAAUGGUGCAGAGGCAAAGGCAACCUCUUCGGGUUUGUAUAGUAGGAAUGAGGAUAUUGGGGCUAAAGGAGCAAGUGUGCAAUUGAAACCCGGCGGCUCUAGUGGGGUGAAGUUAAAUGUAGAUAGAGGUGACACAAGUGUAAAUGUUGCGCCACCUACUUCUUCACAUAAACUUAAAAUUAGGAUUAAAAACCGAACGCUUGAAAAAUCAUGAUUUGUGUAGUAAAUUUCCUCGUAGAAAUAGGUAAUUGUUUUGUAUUUCUUCUAUUCAAGUGUAGCUUUUAGUGGCAGAGCCAUCAUGUAAGAAAUUUGCUUGUAGGGAGUCAUGAGUACAUGUACUAAUAAAAAGGUGUUUACUCCUCACUUCGAAUUAGAAGUACUUUUAAUUUUAAGA